GCCCCUAUAGCUUAAUGGUAAAGCAAAAUACUGUUAAUAUUUGUAUAGAGGUUCGAUUCCUCUUGGGGGCU
This 71-nucleotide transfer RNA is filed under the name Blastomyces parvus. RNAcentral's name for it is "tRNA-Asn". It matches the Rfam family "tRNA". Rfam says of the family: Transfer RNA (tRNA) molecules are approximately 80 nucleotides in length. Their secondary structure includes four short double-helical elements and three loops (D, anti-codon, and T loops). Lineage: Eukaryota; Fungi; Ascomycota; Eurotiomycetes; Onygenales; Ajellomycetaceae. The record is from RNAcentral.